GCUCACCGAUUUGUUCCCUGUGCGUCCGAAAUUUUCGCCUUUCCAGAGAUUAUUGUCCGCGUCCGAGAAAGUUGAACGACGAUUAUACCUGAAUCGCUUGCUUAACUGACGAGCCAAAAAUUACGAGCGAAUGACCAACCCAGUGGAAUUCUGGAUUCUUAACCAUACUUGGUCAAUACAAUUUCAGGUUCGACAUUAGUGGAUUGCAAGGAGGUUUCACAUUAGAGAAACGCGAGCAGCAGUGUGAAGAUUACAUCCGGCGCAUGGUCGGAUAAGUUCGUGCUCAUGCUGGUAAAUGGCGGGAUCGAUCCCGCCGUUUGUGCUGCCCUUUUCCAUAAAGCACUUCUGUAGGAGUGACGACUCGCCAUCUAUAUCGAUAACGGUUUCUUGCGUAAAUACAGGAGGAACAGAUCGUCACUAGUUUACAGCAACUCGGGCUCAAUCUUCGGGUAAUUUGAGAUACCUUUUUGGACCGUUCAGAAUCUUAUGAUUGGAACAAAUUUCCAAAAUUCGUCGUCCUGUCACAUCUCGGAAUCUGUUUGGGUAUAGCGUUUUGGGUUUAAAUCCUUACAGAAUUGAAUGACUACCUUGGUCGAAUGCUUUGUUUUGUUUACGUUGAUUAUGCUUCAAUCCUUUACAAGUGGGAAAAGCUUGCGUUUAGGCAGCAAGAAGGUAUUGUGCGUGUCCACGUACGAAUCAUGGCUUAAUGGGUGAGCAUCAGAUUGUGACGCUGGAUGAUAGUGGAUCAAAUAUAACACAAUAUAUUUGCUGA
Daphnia magna is the source of this 772-nucleotide long non-coding RNA. RefSeq lists it as uncharacterized. The record is from RefSeq and is a predicted model, not a curated record. Lineage: Eukaryota; Metazoa; Arthropoda; Branchiopoda; Diplostraca; Daphniidae. The transcript has 2 exons.